GAUUAUAUCUUCUCUCCCCUGUCCAGCUGAGGAGGGGAGUAAUAGAGUGGCUUUGGUGGGCACCUGACAUACAGCCAGGGUCAACACACCACAAAAACAGACCUCCAGAAAG
Molecule: long non-coding RNA, 112 nt
Organism: Aquila chrysaetos chrysaetos
Lineage: Eukaryota; Metazoa; Chordata; Aves; Accipitriformes; Accipitridae
Exons: 3
Source: RefSeq, a predicted model, not a curated record